RNAcentral lists this transfer RNA (73 nucleotides) under Sphaerochaeta sp. RNAcentral's name for it is "tRNA-Met". It matches the Rfam family "tRNA". From Rfam's summary of the family: Transfer RNA (tRNA) molecules are approximately 80 nucleotides in length. Their secondary structure includes four short double-helical elements and three loops (D, anti-codon, and T loops). Further hydrogen bonds mediate the characteristic L-shaped molecular structure. tRNAs have two regions of fundamental functional importance: the anti-codon, which is responsible for specific mRNA codon recognition, and the 3' end, to which the tRNAs corresponding amino acid is attached (by aminoacyl-tRNA synthetases). tRNAs cope with the degeneracy of the genetic code in two manners: having more than one tRNA (with a specific anti-codon) for a particular amino acid; and 'wobble' base-pairing, i.e. permitting non-standard base-pairing at the 3rd anti-codon position. RNAcentral also lists the same sequence under 2 other names. Lineage: Bacteria; Pseudomonadati; Spirochaetota; Spirochaetia; Spirochaetales; Sphaerochaetaceae. The record is from RNAcentral.
GGUGGCAUAGCUCAGUCGGUAGAGCAAGCGGCUCAUAUCCGCUCGGUCAGGGGUUCAAGUCCCUUUGCCACUA